AUCCUUCUACCAACUCUUGAUAUCCACUGUGCUCUCGACCACUGCCGGGUUGAUGAAUCGAUGUCAACCUUUGGGCUCCAACAAGUCUUCAAAAUACCGAAGAUCAACAAAAUGCAGUUACGUGCCAUAAUCCCAAAUUUUUGCAUAAGUUGCCCCAAGGUGGGGUACUCAACUUAUCGGGAAAUGAUUUCUGUUUUAUGUCUCUAAUUUUUGCCUGGAUCACCCUUUCGGGUUUUCAACUUAGCGAGUUGUUCUUUUCUUUUUAGGCGAACUAUU
RNAcentral lists this long non-coding RNA (276 nucleotides) under Lathyrus oleraceus (garden pea). RNAcentral describes it as "Pisum sativum (pea) long non-coding RNA (PSAT_LNC001954)". Lineage: Eukaryota; Viridiplantae; Streptophyta; Magnoliopsida; Fabales; Fabaceae. The record is from RNAcentral.